Molecule: ribosomal RNA, 429 nt
Filed under: uncultured bacterium
Lineage: Bacteria
Description: bacterial SSU rRNA
Rfam family: Bacterial small subunit ribosomal RNA
Source: RNAcentral
GGACCCGCACAAGUAGUGGAGCAUGUGGUUUAAUUCGAAGAUACGCGCAGAACCUUACCAACACUUGACAUGUUCGUCGCGACUCUAAGAGAUUAGAGUUUUCGGUUCGGCCGGACGAAACACAGGUGCUGCAUGGCUGUCGUCAGCUCGUGUCGUGAGAUGUUGGGUUAAGUCCCGCAACGAGCGCAACCCUCACUUUUAGUUGCCAUCAUUUAGUUGGGCACUCUGAAAGAACUGCCAGUGAUAAGCUGGAGGAAGGUGGGGAUGACGUCAAGUCCUCAUGGCCCUUACGUGUUGGGCUACACACGUGCUACAAUGGUAUUUACAACAGGAAGCAAGACUGCGAAGUUAAGCAAAUCCUUAAAAAAUACCUCAGUUCGGAUUGCACUCUGCAACUCGAGUGCAUGAAGCUGGAAUUACUAGUAAUCG